This 180-nucleotide unclassified non-coding RNA is filed under the name Fleischmannia imitans. Its description in RNAcentral is "partial contains external transcribed spacer and 18S ribosomal RNA". The record is from RNAcentral. Lineage: Eukaryota; Viridiplantae; Streptophyta; Magnoliopsida; Asterales; Asteraceae.
GAUGAWGURGAGCAUUGAGCCUUGCUUGGUCUCUUUGAUGUAGUACUUUAUGUGGGCAUGGGUCUCAYWGGAUCCUYGUWAUGUCCCUGUUUAGUWAWUAUGCUCCUUGAAAUGACUGCUUGACACGCAUUGGCUUGUACCAGCGUUUCGGGUUUUGUCUAAAGAGGAAAGUUACCUGGU